CGGGGGCAUCAGUAUUCAAUUGUCAGAGGUGAAAUUCUUGGAUUUAUUGAAGACUAACUACUGCGAAAGCAUUUGCCAAGGAUGUUUUCAUUAAUCAGGAACGAAAGUUAGGGGAUCGAAGACGAUCAGAUACCGUCGUAGUCUUAACCAUAAACUAUGCCGACUAGGGAUCGGACGGUGUUAUUUUUUGACCCGUUCGGCACCUUACGAGAAAUCAAAGUGCUUGGGCUCCAGGGGGAGUAUGGUCGCAAGGCUGAAACUUAAAGAAAUUGACGGAAGGGCACCACCAGGGGUGGAGCCUGCGGCUUA
RNAcentral lists this ribosomal RNA (309 nucleotides) under Fusarium oxysporum. RNAcentral describes it as "SSU rRNA". It matches the Rfam family "Eukaryotic small subunit ribosomal RNA", at positions 883 to 1192 of the family's 1831-position model. Lineage: Eukaryota; Fungi; Ascomycota; Sordariomycetes; Hypocreales; Nectriaceae. RNAcentral also lists the same sequence under 1 other name. The record is from RNAcentral.